Sinocyclocheilus anshuiensis is the source of this 1550-nucleotide long non-coding RNA. The record is from Ensembl. NCBI's taxonomy places the organism in Eukaryota, Metazoa, Chordata, Actinopteri, Cypriniformes, Cyprinidae.
AAACAGAUUAAACAUUGACAACAUAUUGUGCAAGAUAGGAAAUAUGUUCCGCUGAUAGGUUAUGAAUGUUUAUACCUCUGGGUGAGAGGGCUUAGGUGUGUCUGAGAGAUUAGUUUAUAGGACUGACAUAACAAACUGAUUCAGAAAGGACAAGUAUCUAAAAGAUCUUCAUUGAGGAUUCAUCAUUUAUAUCUUCGUUGAUUAAUUUUAGUCAGUUAUUCUCUGCUAAAUAAAAUCUGUUUAAAAAAAAACCUUCACAGUUGAUCAAAAUGGUUCCGAUUACAAAGACACUGGUCUUUCUCUGCAUGCUGAUUGGAUGGUCACAGGCUUUUUCGCAUCAUGAUGCCUUCAGAGAAAAUGAUGCAAUCCAAGAUGCUGACAAAAUAGAGAGAGAAAGACGAGAUCUGGCUAUGGAGAUGGCUCAGGAAUCGAUCACAUCAAAGUUUUUGCCAGUGGCCUCCAGUGUUUAAGCAAGACAACACAAGCUUAUGGUCUAGAAGAAGAUGGCUACAAAGCGACCUAUCUGUAUUAUUCCAGCAACUGCUGCUAUGAAGAUGUGGAGGUUCUUGUGGUGGACAAGGCAGGACACACAAGCAAGUGUCCCGUUGCUCUAAAACGUAAUACGACGACAUUCAAGCCAAUGACUGUCAAGACUGUCAAACCCACAUCCAGUAGCUCCAUCACAACCAUCUCUCUUUGGUCAAGUUUAAUACUGAUGGCACUUAAAUCUAUGCUUCUCUAAGAUGGAUGUGCACUUUAUGUACACUCACUUCCCAUGUAAUUUAAAAUGUAGGCUACAAUAAAAAUGUGCAAUAAUUAAUAAUUGGAAUAUAUUUAAAGCAUUUGAUGUCAGUAUCAAGUCAGUGCUUUGGUGGGGUAGACUGAGUACAUUUGGGACAUGUGUACAGUUGAAACACCUUAAAUAACUUGCGUGCAAAGGAACCCUGAGCCGUGAUUUUUGCACCACACAUGCGUAUUAGCAUUCUCUCUGAUCAUGGAAAAUUUGAAAGGUGUGUGUCUUUCCACUCCAAAGAUAUCGGCAAAAGUUUUUUUUACAAGGUAAGAUUUUCAUUUCACCAUGUCCCUUCCACAAUGAAUAGCUUAUUAUCCUUUUAUGACUGUUAAACUUCACAUAUAUCAUUGCAAACGUUACUCUGUGCUCUAAAAAUAGACAUAUUUUAUGAUAUUGUGUCAUGGAAGGUCUUUGCAUAAUCUAGAGAAACAUGCGAGUAUGUCAGUGGGGUACGGUUGAGACACAGUGUAUCAACUGUACCCAGACAGGUGUCCUAUUGCGUCACAUGCUGUUUAGCUGUACAGUGUUAUGAUAAUAGGUUAAAAGUCACAUUUACACACAUGCAACGCAAAUUAUGUUUAAAAAAUGAUAUUUGUAAUAUUUCAACUGUCUAUUAUUAAUGGACAUAUUCUCUAACAUGAAUGUUAAAAGGAUAACAUAGCAUUUUGUGAAAUAUACAAGACUGUAAAGUGGGUACAGUUGACACAACCUUUAUAUCCUAUGUAUGCAGUAACAGUUCCAUCAGAAAAUAAAAUUU